UACGUAGGGGGCAAGCGUUGUCCGGAUUUAUUGGGCGUAAAGAGCGUGUAGGCGGCCAGAUAGGUCCGUUGUGAAAACUCGAGGCUCAACCUCGAGACGCCGAUGGAAACCAUCUGGCUAGAGUCCGGAAGAGGAGAGUGGAAUUCCUGGUGUAGCGGUGAAAUGCGCAGAUAUCAGGAGGAACACCAAUGGCGAAGGCAGCUCGCUGGGACGGUACUGACGCUGAGGCGCGAAAGCGUGGGGAGCAAACAGG
Molecule: ribosomal RNA, 253 nt
Filed under: uncultured bacterium
Lineage: Bacteria
Description: partial 16S ribosomal RNA
Rfam family: Bacterial small subunit ribosomal RNA
Source: RNAcentral